AACGAACGCUGGCGGCAGGCCUAGCACAUGCAAGUCGAACGCCCGUAGCAAUACGGGAGUGGCAGACGGGUGAGUAACGCGUGGGAACGUGCCCUUCGGUUCGGAAUAACUCAGGGAAACUUGAGCUAAUACCGGAUACGUCCGUAAGGAGAAAGAUUUAUCGCCGAAGGAUCGGCCCGCGUCGGAUUAGCUAGUUGGUGAGGUAAUGGCUCACCAAGGCGACGAUCCGUAGCUGGUCUGAGAGGAUGAUCAGCCACACUGGGACUGAGACACGGCCCAGACUCCUACGGGAGGCAGCAGUGGGGAAUUUUGGACAAUGGGGGCAACCCUGAUCCAGCCAUUCCGCGUGAGUG
This 353-nucleotide ribosomal RNA is filed under the name uncultured bacterium. Its description in RNAcentral is "bacterial SSU rRNA". It matches the Rfam family "Bacterial small subunit ribosomal RNA", at positions 29 to 407 of the family's 1533-position model. The record is from RNAcentral.